GACGAACGCUGGCGGCGUGCUUAACACAUGCAAGUCGAACGGAAAGGCCCUGCUUGCAGGGUACUCGAGUGGCGAACGGGUGAGUAACACGUGGGUGAUCUGCCCUGCACUUCGGGAUAAGCCUGGGAAACUGGGUCUAAUACCGGAUAGGAGCCAUUUUUAGUGUGAUGGUUGGAAAGUUUUUUCGGUGUAGGAUGAGCUCGCGGCCUAUCAGCUUGUUGGUGGGGUAAUGGCCUACCAAGGCGGCGACGGGUAGCCGGCCUGAGAGGGUGGACGGCCACAUUGGGACUGAGAUACGGCCCAGACCCCGACGGGAGGCAGCAGUGGGGAAUAUUGCACAAUGGGCGCAAGCCUGAUGCAGCGACGCCGCGUGGGGGAUGACGGCCUUCGGGUUGUAAACUCCUUUCGCUAGGGACGAAGCUUUUUGUGACGGUACCUAGAGAAGAAGCACCGGCUAACUACGUG
Molecule: ribosomal RNA, 465 nt
Filed under: uncultured bacterium
Lineage: Bacteria
Description: partial 16S ribosomal RNA
Rfam family: Bacterial small subunit ribosomal RNA
Source: RNAcentral